Astatotilapia calliptera (eastern happy) is the source of this 1363-nucleotide long non-coding RNA. Lineage: Eukaryota; Metazoa; Chordata; Actinopteri; Cichliformes; Cichlidae. The record is from Ensembl.
CUGACCCUCCAUGUUAUGUCUAUCAAAUUGAGUUCUAUGUUUCAUAUCAAGAUCACUUUGAAUGGAGACACUGAUGGUGGUUGUUUUCCUAAGUGCACCCACUCAAAGUGACCUUACAUGUGAGUUUACAGCAAUUAGACACUUUGAAGCAAACUUGAGAUAACACGGUUCACUUACAGAAAAUCUCAAGUAGAGACCCCUCAAAUGAAAAAAGUUGUGGUUUUCCUCUUUACUUAGUGCUCCUAUUUGGGGAAUUCUUUUUUUUUUUUUGAAUAGUUCAGGGAAUCGUUGAUUUAUGUGUUAAUAAGAUGCCUCUGAUUGAAACCGCACAAAACCUUCCAAAAGCUACUGGAGACAAAAGAGCAAACCAAAAUACAAUGGGCCGCUACUACAGUCAUAGCCAACCAUUGGUUUCAUGACUGAAUGUCCUUGACUUAAAUGUGGAUGGAACUGCAAGAGGAGUCUUGAGUUCAUAUAAAAGGAGACUCAUGUCCAGGUAUCCCUCAUGGAUUUGGAAACACAGACAACACAGGAUAUUCCAAAAGAACUUCCGGACUCACUGGUAAGGAAGAGCAUUCAUUACAAGUCUGUAUUAUUGAUCCAACUCAUGCAAGAACUUGUCUCUUGAAUUCAGUAAGUGCAUUUGCUUGGACCAGUUGUACGGAACAACUGCUACAAAUUCUACCUGACCCUCCAUGUUAUGUCUAUCAAAUUGAGUUCUAUGUUUCAUAUCAAGAUCACUUUGAAUGGAGACACUGAUGGUGGUUGUUUUCCUAAGUGCACCCACUCAAAGUGACUUUACAUGUGAGUUUACAGCAAUUAGACACUUUGAAGCAAACUUUAGAUAACACGGUUCACUUACAGAAAAUCUCAAGUAGAGACCCCUCAAAUGAAAACACUUGUGGUUUUCCUCUUUACUUAGUGCUCCUAUUUGGGGAAUUCUUUUUUUUUUUUUUUUGAAUAGUUCAGGGAAUCGUUGAUUUAUGUGUUAAUAAGAUGCCUCUGAUUGAAACCGCACAAAUCCUUCCAACAGCUACUGGAGACAAAAGAGGAAAACAAAAUACAGUGGGGUGCUACGACAGUCGUUAGUCAACCAUUAGUCUCAUGAUUGAAUCUCGUUGAUUUAAAUGUGGAUGGAGCAAGAGGAGUCUUGAGUUCAUAUAAAAGGAGACUCAUGUCCAGGUAUCCCUCAUGGAUUUGGAAACACAGACAACACAGGAUAUUCCAAAAGAACUUCCGGACUCACUGGUAAGGAAGAGCAUUCAUUACAAGUCUGUAUUGUUGGUCCAACUCAUGCAAGAACUUGUCUCUUGAAUUCAGUAAGUGCUUGGACCAGUUGUACACAACAACUGCUACAAAUUCU